AUCAAGAGAAAUUCAUAGGAAAAUGGAAAAGCAAAAGUUCUGAUGUUUUGCUUUUGAUUUCGCCAAGCUAAGUCAACUCCAGGAGUCCUCCUUUCAAAAAGGCUUGGCAUUAGCUACAACGAAGACCACCUUAAAGCCUGUGCUGUUUGAACUCUGCUGCUUGGACCUCAGCUGCUGCAGCAAGGAAGCCUAAAAAAGUCCAUAUGUAGGAGCCCUGAAGCCUGUGGGUAAUAGCCCCAGCCAGUUGGCAUCUGGUGUACCUUCUGGGAAACUGGGCUACUGGGAUUUGUGAAUAGCAACGAAGAGCCAGAGUCUAACUUGGUGUUUUGUUCCGUUUUGCUGCCAAGCUAAGUUUGCUGGAUUUGAGCUUUUGGAUGAUGAUAAUGAUCAUGGGUCCAGUAUUUGAUGAAUCUCCUGAAAGUGAGUGGAACCUGACUCGUUCAUCUUUUCUAGGAUAUAAUGCAUAUGUCAUUGUGACUUUUAAGUUACUUAAAAUCUUGAGGGUCAAUAGGACCAAAAGGAAAAAGGAGCUUAAGUUUCCCAUCCACUUGUUUUUGUCUUCAAGUUUUCCUUUCCUAAUACUACAGAAAUUGUUAUGGAACAGGAAGCGGAAGGUUCAGAAAUUUUACCUUUAAUUUAUCAAGUUAUAUCAACCUGGGUGGUCCAUUUGUCAAAAGGUAAGAAAGUUGACAUAAAAAAUAUACAAAAAUUAACAUACUAAAUGUUUGAAGUCUUUUAAAUGUCACACAUACAAAAGAAAAGUGCACACAUCAUAAGUAUACAGCUUGAUGAAUUAUCACAAUUAUUGUCAUCAAGGUAAAAAAAUAGAGCAUAACCAGCAUCCCAGAAGUUCCCAACCUCUUCCCUCCCAGUUGUUCUGCCCCCUUUCUCCUCCUCAAGUGUAGCCAUUGCUGUGACUUUUAACACCAUAGGAUAGUUUUACCUAUUUUAAAAAAAUGUUAUAUAAAUGGAACCAUACAGCAUGUAUUCUUUUGUGUCUAGCUGCUUUCACUUAACACUGUUUUGUGAGAUUUAGCCAUUCUAUUUUAUUUCUUAUUUUUUUAAAAGAUUUUAUUAAUUCGAGAGAGAGAGAGCGAGCGAAAAUGAGCAGGGUGGGAGGGCUGAGGGAGAAGCAGACUCCCUGCUGAGCAGGGAGCCCGAUAUGGGACUCGAUCCCAAGAUCCUAGUUCCCUGGGAUCCUGAUCUGAGCUGAAGGCAGCUGCUUAACUGACUGAGCCACCCAGGCACCCUAGCCAUUCUAUUUUAGAUAGCAGUAGUUCAUUUAUUUUCAUUGUUGUUUAGUUUCCAUUGUAUAAAUAUACCAACAUUUAUAUCUUCAUUCUGUUGAUGGCUAUUUGGGUUGUUUCCAGUUUGGGACUUCACAAUUAAUGCUGCUACAAACUUUCUUCUACACGUCUUUGAUGCAUAUAUAUAUAUGUGUUUCCAUUGGUGUUUCUGUUUCUCCACGUCAUCACCAAUGUUUGUUUCUGUCUUUUUAUCUUUAGCCAUUUUUUUUGUUGUGUAUUAUUGGUUCUCAUUUUGGCUUGACUGUGUGCUCAGUGAAGGCAAGGCCACAUCUGUCCUGUUCAUAGCUGUAUCACUAUUCAUAAAACAUAGUACAAAUAAUAAUAAGUGGCAAUAACAAUAAUAAAAAUGAAGAUUGAUUGAAACUAAUAACUACACUCAGAGUUUGCAACUUGAGCUUAUGUUUAUAGUUUUACUUUUAUUUGUUAAAAUGAAUAGUUGUUUUUUUUUUUUUAAGAUUUUUUAAUUUAUUUAUUCUACAGAGAUAGAGACAGCCAGCGAGAGAGGGAACACAAGCAGGGGAGUGGGAGAGGAAGAAGCAGGCUCAUAGCGGAAGAGCCUGAUGUGGGGCUCUAUCCCAUAACGCUGGGAUCACGCCCUGAGCCGAAGGCAGACGCUUAACCGGUGUGCCACCCAGGCGCCCCUAAAAUGAAUAGUUUUUAAAUGGUGUUAUGAUUUAGAUAUCAUAAAUCAUUUCCAAUGUUUUCCUUGAUGUGAAACCAUAAACGACCUCACCUCUUCCCCUGACACCCACCCUCCCAAACACACACACGGUGCAAAUUUAGGGCAAUGGUCCAGGAAGAACUAUACAAAUAUAUCUCCCCUUUAAUUUUAUUCAAAUAUUUUGAUAGAAAAAUUAAAUAAUUUAACUGCUAAGUAAUUUUAGGUAUUUUUCUUAUAUUAAAACAAACACAAAUAUAAUGGUAUCCAAACUGAUUGAAUAUUGUGCUUACAUAGGGGGUUUGAGUCACUUCAGAAUCUAUCUGUAUACCCUUGGCCACCCUAUUCUUCUCAGCCAAGUCUGAAAAGCUUUGAUAAUAACGGAGAAUUAAUGAAGUGUUUCCAUUGGGUAGAAUCAUGAUUCAGUUUUUACAUUAGGAGGAUAAUUUUGGCUUGUACUACAGAAGAUGAGUUGGAGGGGAUAGGGGUGGAUGAAGAAGCACUGGAGGUAGAGAUAACAUUAGAGAAUUAUGUAAUAUUAAUCCAUUAUAUUAUAAUUAUUCAUUAUACUGUAAUAAUCCAGGUGAGAGAGAAAUUGGCCUAAACUCACAGCACAGGACAUAGAGAAGAAUAGGCACCAAGGUUUCUAAUUUUAUUAGCUAUUUACUUUCAUGUUCACCAUGACUCUAUAAAACAUCAUCUAAACAUCUAAUUAUUGGUUGUGGUUUGUAUUAUACCUGUAUAAAUAACUUACAUAUGUGAUAGGAUAAAUACAAAUGUUAAUGAGCAUUACUAUUAUUUAAUUCCUUAUAUUUGCAAAAGUCAAAUGGACUUCAAUAUAUUCAAAAUUAGAUAUUAUUCAGUAGUGUAUCCAUUUGCUGCAUUAUAUAUAAAGAAAUUUACAACUAUUGUCUCUGAAGUGAUCUAAAUAGUUCACAUAACAUAUAAGCUUCAAGGGAAAUCUUCGUAUCCAUUAUACAACUCCAUCUUAUUGCAAUUGGAGUUUUUAACUGGACCUAAAUAAAUUAAUCUACAAUAUGGCUAAAAUGUUAAUAUUAUCAUUGUAAUUCACAAUAUACCGGUAUUAGAUACUUUAGGGACUCAGCACUGCUACAAAUCCAUUUGAUUUUCAGGUCAAUUUCCAAAACUGUGAAGUCGCUAAUAAAUUCACAGUGCUUUCUAGCUUUUGAAGUGUUUUGGCAUUUUACAUUAUCUUCUUUGAUGUUCAACAUCCUUGAAGUCAGCAAGGCUGGUCACCCUAAUUUUUCAGUUCAAAAAAGCUCUGAGAUUUCAUUUAUUGUGUUUAACAAAUGUUAUUUGUAUAACAUCAUGCAUCUGCAAACUGUAAAGGGACUGGAAUUCAGAUUUCCAAAGUUUUUAUUCUGGUGUACCAGGUUGUCAGUCUAAUAUAGCAUAUGGCUUCCUAAGAUUCCUGGAUUUUAGUAGCUCUUUGACAAAUUUCUUAACCUGUAUACUUCAGUUUUCAUAUCUAAAAUAAGGAGAUAAUAAUAAUACCUAGCCAUUGAAUUAUUAUAAGGAUAAAUUUAGCUAAAUUUGUGAGGCAUUUAAAAACAGUGUCAAGCUCACAGUAAGCUCCAAAUAAAUGUUGGGUUAUAUAUUUAUUGUUUUAGCAUAUCCAACUGACUUGUAAGGAGGGUUUUGAUCCUCAUAAUAUACACAUUUGGAAAAUUCCCAGUUGAGUAUAUAUAUUAGGCAAGUUCAGAUGUGUAUAUGGGUAUUAAAGCAUAAACCUUGUUUCUAAUUUAAUAACUAAAGAAAUGUGGGGGCCCAAUAAUCCCAUUAGCCCUACUUAAUUAACCACAUUUCAUCUGACCUCGAUAUGCUCUUCCCAGAGAGAAAAGACUUCAAGGGUGUGGUAAGUAGACCUGUUGAGAUAUUUUAAAAAGCAGAGAUCCGUGGAUUUUAACAGGAAGCUCAGCAUAUUAGACAGUCCAAGUGUGCUCAGGAGUGUAAUAUCUGCCCAGUCUUAGCUGAGAGGACGUUAGGGGGAACGCUACAAGGGACCCAGCUGGGUACUCUGCAGGAAGUUAAAAAAAAUUGUUGAGCUUUGAAAAACAUCUGGUGUUAGCCAUCUGUCUUUGGCAGUACAAAGGCUUAAGGUCUAUGUGGUUCCUUCUGACACCAUGGAAGGCGGAGUUUCAGCGCAGAAGUAACAAGUAGUGGCAAGCUAAUUUAAGUACGUUCUCGGGGUCCGGAGACACUUGCACUUCCUGUUACCACAAUUCAGGCCAAACUGCUGUCAAUCCCUAGUGUUUGAGCGCUUCCCCAGCCUCGAUUCCUGUUGUGGCCACCCUCGGGUGGGCCGUGCUCCACCUAGGUGCUUUGGAAUGUGGGACAGUUUCGCUCUUCUCGCGAAAGAACACGGUCUUUUGCUUGAGUUGCUCGUUAAAAGGUUGGCACAGUCGGGAUCUCCCAUUGUUGUUAAGAGGCGCAGGAGCCCCGGCCAGUAAGACGCUGUCACUGCUGCCCAGCAGCGAGCCCCAACAUCCCAGCCAGGCCCCGCUGGGCAUUCCGAAGCCCCACCCAUGGCAACGCCACUCUGACGCCCGCGCGCCGGAGGCCGCCAUAGGCCCGCGUCGCGGCCCAGGGCGACGUGUGGCGCGUGGACUCUAUCAGGUCCAGCCCUGCGGGAACCCGGCAGACACUUCCGGGCAAGGUUCUGUGCACCUGUUCCUUCCUUCUCCUUAAGUGUCUUCCCCUCUGGGAAAAAGUGGACAU
This 4704-nucleotide long non-coding RNA is filed under the name Ailuropoda melanoleuca (giant panda). Its description in RNAcentral is "lncRNA (ENSAMEG00000030218.1)". The record is from RNAcentral. Lineage: Eukaryota; Metazoa; Chordata; Mammalia; Carnivora; Ursidae.